AUGACUUUGAUCUGCGUCCUCAUCUGGACUCUCCUCUGCUGCUGCUUCACAGAGUCCAGAGGACAGAUCACAGUGACUCAGCCUGGAGCAGUGAGCUCUGCUGUGGGAGGAUCUGUGAGCAUCAAGUGUAGGACCAGUCAGAAUGUUUAUGUUUGGAGCAUCUAUCAUUAUUUAGCCUGGUACCAACAGAAAGAUGGAGACGUUCCCAAACUGCUCAUUAAGCUUGCUCAUGAGAGAAUAUCAGGGAUUCCAGCUCGUUUUACAGGCAGUGGAUCAAACUCUGACUUCACUCUGACCAUCAGUGGAGUCCAGGCUGAAGAUGCAGCAGUUUAUUACUGUCAGAGUUAUCACUAUAUCAACAGUCAGCGGGUGUACACGUUCGGUGGAGGAACCAGACUGGAUGUUGGAAGUGAUACCCGCCCCGCCCUGAAGGUGCUGGGUCCCUCCAACAAGGAGCUGGAGCAGGGGAAGGCCACGCUCAUGUGUGUGGCCAACAAGGGCUUCCCUUCAGACUGGAGUCUGUCCUGGAAGACGAGCGACAGCAGUGGCAGCAGCAGCAUCAGAGGGGAGGAGAGCAGGACUCCUGGAGUGCUGCAGAAUGACGGCCUCUACAGCUGGAGCAGCACCCUGACGCUCACUGCAGACCAGUGGGGGAAGGUGGGCUCUGUGACCUGUGAGGCCACCCAGGGCUCCCAGUCUCUGGUCUCAGAGAUACUGAGGAGAGACCAGUGUUCCCAGUCCUGAUGUCAAUCACUGAGUCUUUGAUGUUGAUUUUCUUCUGUCUCUUUGUUUCUUUGUGUUUGCAGAUUUAAAAAAUAAACUCAUUAAAUAUUCAUAUUUCCAUCUCAUAAUGACAACAAUCAGAGCAACAAUCUCCUCUAGUUUCAUCCUUUGGUGUCUGUUGUAAUGCUGAUAUUUCAAACUCUUAAAAGAAUAAAAAUGCAACGAGAAAACAUGUUCUUUGACUCUGUGAGUUUAAUAAAUGCACAUUAAAAAAUUAAGAUUUUGUAAUAUUUGUAAAACAGACCAAAAUAAAAAUGUAAACAGACACAUC
This is a non-coding RNA of Maylandia zebra (zebra mbuna), 1054 nucleotides long. NCBI's taxonomy places the organism in Eukaryota, Metazoa, Chordata, Actinopteri, Cichliformes, Cichlidae. The record is from the annotation of a RefSeq genome assembly.